CUCAUGUCUUCCAUGCAGCUUUGGUUCUGUGAUGGUGCAGAGCUAGGCUGGUAGCAGAAAGUCUGGGGAUCUCCAGAACACUUGAGUUCGCUGCUAGCAUGAAUGUUGCCAAAAAGCAACUUCUUAUUGAUGGGGAUAUUAAGAGAAAUAAGAUCGUGGCACUGCAGGAUGUUAUUGUCAAGUGUCUUAUUGUGGAGGUCAGCAACACAUGAAUACAGCUGGAGAAGAGGAAAAACUUACAAAAGAGAGAAAAGAGAAAAUUAUUUUUGUAUGCCUGUGAGAUUGAGCUUCAGUUGGUAG
Molecule: long non-coding RNA, 300 nt
Filed under: Anas platyrhynchos platyrhynchos (common mallard)
Lineage: Eukaryota; Metazoa; Chordata; Aves; Anseriformes; Anatidae
Description: lncRNA (ENSAPLG00000024609.1)
Source: RNAcentral